AUGGGAUCUAGUAACAAUGUUACAGAAUUUGUCCUCCUGGCCCUCACUCAGGCUCCUGAUGUGCAAAAAGUAUUAUUUGUAAUGUUUUUAUUCACAUACAUUGUGACUAUGGUGGGCAACCUGCUCACUGUGGUGACCAUUUUUGCCCUCCCUCUUUGGGCUCCCUAGUGUAACUCUUCCUUGCCUGCCUGUCAUUGAUGGAUGCCGUAUAUUCCACUUCAUUUUCUCCUAAACUGAUGAUAGACUUACUCUGCGAUAAAAAAGACUGUUUCCUUCCCGGCUUGCAUGGGCCAGCUAUUUGCGGACCACCUAUUUGGUGGUGUUGAGGUCUUUCUUUUCGUGGGGAUGGCCUAUGAUCACUAUGUGGCCAUCUCUAAGCCACUGCACUAUUUGAUCAUCGUGAAUCGACUGGUUUGCAUCCUUCUGUUGGUGGUGGCCGUGACUGGAGGAUUUUGAAUUCUAUGUUUCUUUUUUUUUAAUUUAUUU
This 486-nucleotide long non-coding RNA is filed under the name Homo sapiens (human). RNAcentral's name for it is "non-protein coding lnc-OR4C15-3:1". Lineage: Eukaryota; Metazoa; Chordata; Mammalia; Primates; Hominidae. The record is from RNAcentral.